CCCGUCCGCGGAGAUGGCAUUCCUCCGGCCCCAUUCGGGCAAACCGCCGCCUCGGCUGAUGAUGCCUGCCCCACC
RNAcentral lists this non-coding RNA (75 nucleotides) under Lysobacterales bacterium. RNAcentral's name for it is "Xanthomonadales bacterium Fluoride sequence". It matches the Rfam family "Fluoride riboswitch aptamer (crcB RNA motif)". Lineage: Bacteria; Pseudomonadati; Pseudomonadota; Gammaproteobacteria; Lysobacterales. The record is from RNAcentral.